This 497-nucleotide ribosomal RNA is filed under the name uncultured bacterium. RNAcentral describes it as "partial 16S ribosomal RNA". It matches the Rfam family "Bacterial small subunit ribosomal RNA", at positions 28 to 507 of the family's 1533-position model. The record is from RNAcentral.
GAUGAACGCUGGCGGCGUGCCUAAUACAUGCAAGUCGAGCGAACGGACGAGAAGCUUGCUUCUCUGAUGUUAGCGGCGGACGGGUGAGUAACACGUGGAUAACCUACCUAUAAGACUGGGAUAACUUCGGGAAACCGGAGCUAAUACCGGAUGAUAUUUUGAACCGCAUGGUUCAAAAGUGAAAGACGGUCUUGCUGUCACUUAUAGAUGGAUCCGCGCUGCAUUAGCUAGUUGGUAAGGUAACGGCUUACCAAGGCAACGAUGCAUAGCCGACCUGAGAGGGUGAUCGGCCACACUGGAACUGAGACACGGUCCAGACUCCUACGGGAGACAGCAGUAGGGAAUCUUCCGCAAUGGGCGAAAGCCUGACGGAGCAACGCCGCGUGAGUGAUGAAGGUCUUCGGAUCGUAAAACUCUGUUAUUAGGGAAGAACAUAUGUGUAAGUAACUGUGCACAUCUUGACGGUACCUAAUCAGAAAGCCACGGCUAACUACGUG